UCCUACGGGGGGCAGCAGUAGGGAAUUUUCGUCAAUGGGCGCAAGCCUGAACGAGCGAUGCCGCGUGAGUGAAGAAGGCCUUCGGGUCGUAAAGCUCUGUUGCGGGGGAGCAAGGGCGGGGACGUGUCCCGGCCCGGAGAGUACCCGGAGAAAAAGCAUCGGCUAACUCCGUGCCAGCAGCCGCGGUAAUACGGAGGAUGCGAGCGUUAUCCGGAUUUAUUGGGUUUAAAGGGUGCGUAGGCGGGCUUUUAAGUCAGCGGUAAAAAUUCGGGGCUCAACCCCGUCCGGCCGUUGAAACUGGGGGC
Molecule: ribosomal RNA, 305 nt
Filed under: uncultured bacterium
Lineage: Bacteria
Description: bacterial SSU rRNA
Rfam family: Bacterial small subunit ribosomal RNA
Source: RNAcentral